AUUGAACGCUGGCGGCAUGCUUUACACAUGCAAGUCGAACGGUAACAGGCCGCAAGGUGCUGACGAGUGGCGAACGGGUGAGUAAUGCAUCGGAACGUGCCCAGUCGUGGGGGAUAACGCAGCGAAAGCUGCGCUAAUACCGCAUACGAUCUCUGGAUGAAAGCGGGGGACCGAAAGGCCUCGCGCGAUUGGAGCGGCCGAUGUCAGAUUAAGUAGUUGGUGGGGUAAAGGCCCACCAAGCCAACGAUCUGUAGCUGGUCUGAGAAGACGACCAGCCACACUGGGACUGAGACACGGCCCAGACUCCUACGGGAGGCAGCAGUGGGGAGUUUUGGACAAUGGGCGCAAGCCUGAUCCAGCAAUGCCGCGUGCAGGAAGAAGGCCUUCGGGUUGUAAACUGCUUUUGUACGGAACGAAACGGUCCGGGUUAAUACCCUGGGCUAAUGACGGUACCGUAAGAAUAAGCACCGGCUAACUACGUGCCAGCAGCCGCGGUAA
Molecule: ribosomal RNA, 498 nt
Filed under: uncultured bacterium
Lineage: Bacteria
Description: partial 16S ribosomal RNA
Rfam family: Bacterial small subunit ribosomal RNA
Source: RNAcentral